This 274-nucleotide long non-coding RNA is filed under the name Lathyrus oleraceus (garden pea). Its description in RNAcentral is "Pisum sativum (pea) long non-coding RNA (PSAT_LNC003387)". The record is from RNAcentral. Lineage: Eukaryota; Viridiplantae; Streptophyta; Magnoliopsida; Fabales; Fabaceae.
UUUCUUCACGCUUUAGAAAAAGGUUUGAAUAUUAUGUUUGAUUUGUGAAAUGAUCUUGAAAUGAUUCACAUUAUUUUUGGAAUGUAUUUUGAAAUUGAGGAAAGUUGAAAUUGAUUUUGAAAUCGAAUGAAAUUUGAGUAUCAUUAUUUACACGUGUAAAAGUAUGGAUAUGGGUACUAAUAACCUAACUAAAUUAGUUAACACACAAAAAUCGACUAAUCGAAUAAAAAAAUAUCGGAAAUUCAACCAUUAAUUAAAUCUAAAAGGUAAACAU